GUCCACGCCGUAAACGAUGCGUGCUAGACGUUGGGGCUUGCCCUUCGGUGUCGUCGCUAACGCAUGAAGCACGCCGCCUGGGGAGUACGGUCGCAAGAUUAAACUCAAAGGAAUUGACGGGCCCGCACAAGCGGUGGAGCAUGUGGUUUAAUUCGAAGCAACGCGCAGAACCUUACCAGCCCUUGACAUGGGCGUCGCGGGGUCGAGAGAUUGGCCCCUUCAGUUCGGCUGGACGCCACACAGGUGCUGCAUGGCUGUCGU
This 261-nucleotide ribosomal RNA is filed under the name uncultured bacterium. RNAcentral's name for it is "partial 16S ribosomal RNA". It matches the Rfam family "Bacterial small subunit ribosomal RNA", at positions 793 to 1055 of the family's 1533-position model. The record is from RNAcentral.